RNAcentral lists this ribosomal RNA (229 nucleotides) under uncultured bacterium. RNAcentral describes it as "partial 16S ribosomal RNA". It matches the Rfam family "Bacterial small subunit ribosomal RNA", at positions 568 to 796 of the family's 1533-position model. The record is from RNAcentral.
UCCGUAGGCGGGCUUUUAAGUCAGUGGUGAAAGCCUACAGCUUAACUGUAGAAUUGCCGUUGAUACUGGAAGUCUUGAGUAUAGUUGAAGUGGGCGGAAUACGUCAUGUAGCGGUGAAAUGCAUAGAUAUGACGUAGAACACCUAUUGCGAAGGCAGCUCACUAAGCUAAAACUGACGCUGAGGGACGAAAGCGUGGGGAGCAAACAGGAUUAGAUACCCUGGUAGUCC